GAGGAAUAUUGGUCAAUGGUCGAAAGACUGAACCAGCCAUGCCGCGUGCAGGAUGACGGCGCUAUGCGUUGUAAACUGCUUUUCUACAGGAAGAAACCUACCCUCGUGAGGGUAGCUGCCGGUACUGUAGGAA
RNAcentral lists this ribosomal RNA (133 nucleotides) under uncultured bacterium. Its description in RNAcentral is "partial 16S ribosomal RNA". It matches the Rfam family "Bacterial small subunit ribosomal RNA", at positions 356 to 486 of the family's 1533-position model. The record is from RNAcentral.